GACGAACGCUGGCGGCGUGCUUAACACAUGCAAGUCGAACGGUGAUGCUCCAGCUUGCUGGGGUGGAUCAGUGGCGAACGGGUGAGUAACACGUGAGCAACCUGCCCCAGACUCUGGAAUAAGCGCUGGAAACGGCGUCUAAUACUGGAUACGAGACUGGCCCGCAUGGGCAUGGUUGGGAAAGUUUUUCGGUUUGGGAUGGGCUCGCGGCCUAUCAGCUUGUUGGUGAGGUAAUGGCUCACCAAGGCGACGACGGGUAGCCGGCCUGAGAGGGCGACCGGCCACACUGGGACUGAGACACGGCCCAGACUCCUACGGGAGGCAGCAGUGGGGAAUAUUGCACAAUGGGCGAAAGCCUGAUGCAGCGACGCCGCGUGAGGGAUGACGGCCUUCGGGUUGUAAACCUCUUUCAGCAGGGACGAAGCGAAAGUGACGGUACCUGCAGAAGAAGCACCGGCUAACUACGUG
RNAcentral lists this ribosomal RNA (468 nucleotides) under uncultured bacterium. RNAcentral's name for it is "partial 16S ribosomal RNA". It matches the Rfam family "Bacterial small subunit ribosomal RNA", at positions 28 to 507 of the family's 1533-position model. The record is from RNAcentral.